Long non-coding RNA from Gasterosteus aculeatus aculeatus (three-spined stickleback), 1224 nucleotides. Lineage: Eukaryota; Metazoa; Chordata; Actinopteri; Perciformes; Gasterosteidae. The record is from Ensembl.
GCUAUCUUGUCGGCGAGAGUGGCAGAGAACUUUUGGAUACCCUGAUGGGCGACACAGCUAGGGAUGCAUGGAGGAUAGAGGACAUCGUCACAAAGUUUGAUGAUCAUUGCAACCCCAGGGUGAACGAGAUAGUCGAACGCUAUUGUUUCUUCACGAGAAAUCAGGGCGCCAGUGAAAAUAUAGACAGUUAUGUCACUGAACUGAGACUGCUGGCCAAAACAUGCAACUUUGGGACUUUGAGAGACUCGCUCAUUCGUGAUAGGAUUGUGUGUGGUGGUAACAACACGAUCAUGAGAGAAAGGCUGCUGCGGGAGAAAAACUUGACACUGGACACAUGUUUACAACUGUGCAGAGCAGCAGAGCUCUCCAAGGAGAACGUUAAAACCAUCACCGGGCCGAUGGUUGAAGAGGUGCAUGCCGUGCAAGGGGCACAGUACCAGUGGAAAGGCAACAACACAGUGGAGUGUAAAUUCUGCGGAAGAACACACGAAAGGACCAAACAGAAAUGUCCGGCGUUCGGAAAGAAGUGUGCAAAGUGUGGCAGAGAGAACCACUUUGCAGCCAAAUGUAAAGCGAAACCAGACCAAAGGAGGAAGAAAAAUACACUGAGAUAGUGGAUGCAGUGGAGACGGACUUGGGCAAAGAUGAAGACCCAGAGAGAGAACAGGAUGUGAAAGAUAACACUGUUAAAGAGGACACUCAGCUUCUAUAUGCUGGUAUGCUACUAGGCAAAGACAUGGUCAAGUUCCAAAUAGAUUGUGGUGCUAGUUGCAACAUCAUCCCCAUUAACCUGCUGAAUCCAGACACCGAGCUGGAACACACUAAAAGUGUACUAGUUAUGUACAACAAAAGCAAGCUGAAGCCAAUGGGGAAAUGUAAGAUUAAAAUAAGGAAUCCAAGAAAUCACAAACUAUAUCGCUUGGAGUUCCAAGUGGUGAACACAGACGGUGCAGUGCCUCUGCUGGGUCGGAAAGCCAGUGAGGCGAUGAAACUGAUUAAAGUGCACCAUGAGAAUAUCAUGGCAAUGGACAGUAUAAUCACAACAGGAAAACCGAAAACAGGGUGGACGAUGGAACAAAUCAAAACAAGGUAUGCUGACGUGUUCACUGGAGAUGGCUGCCUUGGAGGAAAAUACAAGAUGGAGGUGGACAGCACAGUGAAGCCGGUGCAGCUGCCAAAGAGACGGGUUCCAGUGGCCCUGAUGAAACCACUGAAGGAAGAGCU